CCUACGGGUGGCAGCAGUGGGGAAUAUUGCACAAUGGGGGAAACCCUGAUGCAGCGACGCCGCGUGAGUGAAGAAGCGUUUCGGCGCGUAAACCUCUGUCAGCGGGGAAGAAACACGGUUCGCGACAGCCGCGGACGGUACCCGACCAAGAAGCCCCGGCUAACUACGUGCCAGCAGCCGCGGUAAUACGUAGGGGGCAAGCGUUAUCCGGAUUCACUGGGUGGAAAGGGCGCGUAGACGGCGAGACAAGUCUGGAGUGAAAGGCCGGGGCCCAACCCCGGGACUGCUGUGGAAACUGCCUGGCUGGAGUACAGGAGAGGUAAGUGGAAUUCCGAGUGUAGCGGUGAAAGGCGUAGAUAUUAGGAGGAACACCAGUGGCGAGGGCAGCCUGCCGGGGUGCGACUGACGCUGAGGCUCGAAGGUGCGGGUAUCAAACAGGAUUAGAUACCCGGGUAGUC
This 458-nucleotide ribosomal RNA is filed under the name uncultured bacterium. Its description in RNAcentral is "partial 16S ribosomal RNA". It matches the Rfam family "Bacterial small subunit ribosomal RNA", at positions 338 to 795 of the family's 1533-position model. The record is from RNAcentral.